RNAcentral lists this long non-coding RNA (210 nucleotides) under Vigna radiata. RNAcentral describes it as "long non-coding RNA (VRAD_LNC009722)". The record is from RNAcentral. Lineage: Eukaryota; Viridiplantae; Streptophyta; Magnoliopsida; Fabales; Fabaceae.
UACAAAGAAAAAGACUCGUUCGAUGUCAUGUGAAUGCCACUACAACACAUAGUGCAAAUCUUCAUAAUUUCUUAAAAAAAUAAAAAAAAAAUAAAAACAUAUUAUUCAGAACAACCUUCCAAAAUCACAUAGUACAAAUCUUCAUCAUUUCUUAAAAAAAAGAAAAAAAAAUAUAUUUUAGAACAACUUUCCAAAACCAAUUGUGGCCGC